This is a long non-coding RNA of Gopherus evgoodei (Goodes thornscrub tortoise), 4941 nucleotides long. RefSeq lists it as uncharacterized. The record is from RefSeq and is a predicted model, not a curated record. NCBI's taxonomy places the organism in Eukaryota, Metazoa, Chordata, Testudines, Testudinidae. The transcript has 3 exons.
GCAGACUGGCCUCGCAUGGACCUGGAGGGGGAGGAGCCCCUCACUGAGCCCUGGUGGGAGGAGCCAGGCUGCGCUCACCCCUCCCACCAGAAGUCUGUGGGCAGGACAGGAAGUAGAAAAGGCAGGUCUGGGAGCUCAGUUGGGUUGCAGCUGCUGGAGGAGCCAGACAUCAUCUGCUUGCUCCUGAGCUGGGAGACUGCUGCAGGCUCCAGGGGGGCUGAGGACUGGCCAGAGCCACCGGAGCCGUAUGCUGACCCGACCUUGGAGGAGUUGCCAGGGCUACCACAGGCCUUCUACCCGGGCCAUCUGGACAACUCUCUGCAGACCCAGCAAUAAAGGUGCCUCAGGCUGUCUGAUCCAAAACCAACCGUGUGGUCAAUUUUCCAUAACAAUUUGGUGCCGUGAUUCGGAUUCCAUGGAUGACUACCCUGGACCGAAGGACUGUGGACAGUUUCCUCCCACACCGCAGGCUCGUCUGAGAGGUCCAAGGCACCUUGCCCAACCUGGCAGAGACUGUGUGCCAUCCUUUACAGCCUGGAGAAUGGAUUUAUCUCAAGGUUCCCCAGCGCAAGUCUUCCCUGGAACCCAGGUGGAAGGGCCCAUAUCAGGUUUUGUCAACCACCCAUACUACGGUGAAGUACCAAGGGCUCACCAGUUGGGUCCACGCUUAUCACUGUAAAAAGAUUUCACCACCUUUGGACCCCACCAGUACACCCUGCAGCCCCGCGAAUCAGGCCCUAGGUGUUAAAGAGAUUCUUCAUCCAUCUGAGCCCUCCGCAACACCUAACACACCAAAAAAGAAACUAAAAUAUAAUCUCAGAACCAGAGAAAAAACUAAAGGGAAAGGGUUGUAGGACUACUGUUAAACUGUUCUUGCUGUGACUGGUCCAAAAUCCACCAUGGCACGAAGGUGGUUGAUGCUCUCCCUUUGUUUUAUUUGUGUAACCAUGCUUCUUUUGUUACUUCUAAACUUUCACGAUUCCUUUCAGUAUUUCUGGAUGCCUGGAAGGACUGGUACUCCCGUAAUACCACUCCAUCCUACACCUGAGAACCACCCUAAAGUGCCCCUAGACCUCCCACUAUGUGGAACAAGACCAUUCUCAGCCCCGAAAGGAAAAAACUGUGCGAUCAGCGGUGGAGCAACAGGGGAGGACGUCCCUGACUGUUAAGGAUGUUAAAGGUUGGCUGUGGUAUAAAAGAUGAAACAUUGUUUCCUGGCAAGGAGGGACUUGUGGGGUGUACUCCUAGGAAUGUGGGACAAACUAGGUUUUGGGUUUCAUUUCCCAAGCAGCUCCUGUCGUAUGGCCAGGUACCAUAUCCGUGUCAAGUGCUCCCUGAAUUAUUAGAUAAACCUAGCCCCUCUCCUCCGACUACUCCCCUGCCCCCGCCCCAUCAUUCCCAUGCCCCGGUCCCGACCCAAAAGGACAUCCCCAACCAGCACUACUGUGCCUCAGCCACAUUCCAAUUUUAGCAUGGGCAUUACCUCGAACAUUAUACAAUGGCCCAGGCCAUUCCCUUCUGGCGAUCUGUUUUUUUUUUAUUACUCGACUAAGUUAUUUUUUUCAGUCCAAGGCCUCAUUUAUAAACGGGUGGUCGAAUGGGAAACUUUUGAAGCCGUGUAUAUCAGCUUUGUAAACAUAGCUACUGACCCCCAUGAUCGACCCGUUAAGACCCUUUAUUUUGUACAUAAUUGGCAAAAAGAUGUAAAUUCAAUGCUAAUCCCUGGCCUGUGUUCCAUCCUUAAUGAACGAGGUCCCUUUUGUUUCUUAAUUACCCAAGUAACCAAAUUUGCCGUAAAUACCCGAAGAUUCUGCCCUUCUACAGUGUCCUUCGGCUGUAAAGAAACCCUUCCCCUGACUAAAAAUAUAACCUGCACCCUAAUUCAAUAUACCCCUGCAUGUACAACCAAUAUAACUGCAUCCAAACCGGGCAUUCAAGUGCUCAGACAGCAGUUAUGGUACGAAGUUACAAGUAAAGGGGAUUCUGCAGGGUUUAAAUGGACCAUACUUACUGCUACUUUGGGAACUAUUAGGUUUUCCUUACCCUUAACUCACUUCCAAAUUGCUGCUACCUACUCUAAUUGUUCCCAAGGAGCUGCCCUCAGGUUACUACAGCAACAGGUUUGGAGCCACUCCUCUCGAAAGAAAAGAGGUAUCACAGAUACCCUGUGGAAAGGGGCUAACAGUGCUACCUCUGCUUGAAAUAUCUAUCAGGCCCAACAGAAUGACAGUAGAUUAGAACAGUUAGAAAGGGCUGCAGGACUUAUUUCUGGGGCACAGGUAACUGGGGUCCGGGCUGGGGUAGGUAAAUUACAUGUGAUCUCCACCCUUAGUAUCUUUACCCAGGAUUUGCUCAAACAGAUAAUUAUUUGCGCUACAGAGGCUGGGAAGGCAUUGCAGUGGGACCAUGCUUGCUCCAAGGUACAGGAUUUCCUUAAUGUUCAGCUAGCCUCCAUUCAAGAAGACCUCAAGCACCAAACCUGGCCCACUGCCCUCACAAUGCCUUGGGCGUGCCACAUAAUUUAUGGUUAUGGAGACACACUUGGAAGAUUUCAGGGUGGAAUUGCUGGCGCUCACAGUGUUCCUUCCAGGCUUAUGGCCCUAUGAAAGGAGUGUGGGCCCCCACAUACCGAAACCUCCCUGGCCCUUGGGGAGGUUGUAUGUGGGACUGGGUGAUCCACCGGAAUGUAUGGGAAAUAAAACCACCCCGCAGCCCUAACCGAUUCCUUAUUGGUGCCACGGAAAUAACACCUGAUCUUUCGAUAGGGCUCGGUAACCUGUAAACCUUUUGGCCUUUAGAACCUCCUCAGCUCCAGUGCAUUAGGAAGCUCAACCCUGGGGAAAUUGUUACUGUUCAUGAACACAUUUGUUGGGAAGGUAAUGGACACAUAACAACCAUUGCUUCCCAGCCUCUUAUCCAGGCCAACAAUAGCUGUGUUCAUGUUAACUCAUCUGUUUUACGAGAUGUGGCCUUUAAUCUGAACACGAUCACAGGCACUCAUGUUAUUUAUUGGCCUGCGGACAAAACGUACCAGGCUUCCCUAUCGUUCCAUAUCCCUUCCAAUUGGACCGCUCUGGUACCCGAUUGUUUCCAUUCCUUGGUGUCCCUCCUCCCGGAGGUCCGGCAAAUUUCCCAAUUGUAAAAACAAGUCCAUCUUCUCGAAAACAUGCACCAAACCGAACUUAAUGCCUUCCAAACGGCCCAUAGAGUUACAACUCUCUCUGUUAAAACAGAUUUUCUAUGUUCUAUUACUAAAGCCCUCUAACCCUCCCCAUACCCAUCAGUACAUACUAUGGGGCUUGUUGGGGGGAAGGGUUACUAGGGUUAUUAUUAAAUAUUUGCUUUUGCUAUUGUUGCUGCAAAACAUGUUGUUCCCACCCUGCACCUGCUUUGUAUAUCCAAUCCCAUCAGGUGGCCCUUGUCCCCUUCAAAGAAUUAGAGCCUUAUCAGCCCAAUUCCCCGACAUAUAAAUUCGCGGAAUCACCCUAUAAAAAUAAAUUCGCAAACUCUGAGAUCAGGAAUUUAAUAAACAUUCAAAUCUAGGGAGUUGAUGCUGAAAAAUGCCAUCAAAAGGAGGGAAUGAUAGGGAAAAUAGCCCCCCCCACUUGUCGAUUCAGAGUUUCAGAAUAAGAAUAACCUAUACCCCCUUGACCUUUCAGGCCCAAAGCCUUUAGCUCAAAACUAUGCUAAAUAAAAGCAAGAGUUACAAACUUCUGAUAAAAUUGUUUAUCAGCAUACUGAGCACUGGGGCAUGAAGAAACUGGGUUGUGAAGAAACUAGAUAUGAAGAAAUGGGAUAUGACACACUGACAAAAGAGGAACUGGGAGGAGGACAGGAGGUCUCUUGGGGGCCAGCUCAGCUUUAGGCAAGUAUAGUAUGGCAAAUAUUGCUUACUUAGGUAACUGCAAGGAGGGGUCACAGAAUGACCAGCGCAAUCACUGCCAGAACACAUGAAACAUGUUGAAAUAGCUUGCUGAUUUGCAACAUUUUAUGUCAGUUACAGUAAAAUAUUAAUCUUAAUUUGCAGUGUUACCCAUAUUUGGGUUAAUAUUGCUAUGCUUAUAUGUAAUGUUUGCGGUUUUAACCUUUAUAAGCUUGGUGAAAAUUGUAAAGGGCAGAGCAGCCUACCUCUUGCAUGGGGUUACGCUGUCUCUCCCUGUAUGCAUACUUGUAACCUUGUAGUCUUGUUAUAGCAAUAAAGGUGCCUCAGGCUGUCUGAUCCAAAACCAACCAUGUGGUCAAUUUUCCACAAUCCCAUGUGCUUGGGGCACUGUCUCUGCAAUGCUCUCAUUCCUUGCUGAUCUGGGUGCAAGUGAUCAAUUAUACCUCUAUAUGCAGACUCUCUCUCAUGCCACUUGGUGCAGAAGGGUGGUGGUUAUGGCUCCCUAAUUCCCAAGGUGCAUCUGUGCCAGCCCCAAUGAGCCAUACACCAACUGAGAGUUGGCACAGCAUAGUUAUACUCCAACACUGCCUCUUCCUUCCUUUGCAGAGCUGUUGUAGCCGUGUUGGUCCCAGGAUAUCAGAGACAAGAUGGGCAAGGUAAUAUCUUUUAUUGGACCAAUUAUUGUUGCUGAAAGAGACAAGCUUUGAGCUACACAGAUGUGAAGAAGAGCUUGUAUGAGCUUGAAACUCUGUUUCUUUCACCAACAGAAGUUGGUCCAAUAAAAGAUGUUCUCACCAUCCUUCCUUUGACACCAUGGUAGUUGGUGGCAUAGUUAGUAUAGUAGUUAGAUCUGCUGGCUUUACACCAGCUAGGAUCUCUCCCAUGCUGGAGGAAUUCUCAGCUGGCUAGAACUAGUUACUUUCCAGCCACUUUGCACUACUCAGAAACUCAGAUCUAGUGCAUGUUUAGCAAAAAAGUGCUUCCUCAGACACAAACUUGUUUUUUACUGUCAAUGUACAUGUGUGUUAUUAAUAAAUCUUAAUAGUUCAUUUAUUUGA